This 520-nucleotide ribosomal RNA is filed under the name uncultured bacterium. Its description in RNAcentral is "bacterial SSU rRNA". It matches the Rfam family "Bacterial small subunit ribosomal RNA", at positions 15 to 518 of the family's 1533-position model. The record is from RNAcentral.
GAUCAUGGCUCAGGAUGAACGCUAGCUACAGGCUUAACACAUGCAAGUCGAGGGGCAGCAUUGGGAUAGCUUGCUAUUCAGAUGGCGACCGGCGCGACGGGUGAGUAACGCGUAUACCCAACCUUCCUGCCAGGUAGGGAACACGCCCGGCGAAAGUCGGAUUUAAUGCCCUAUGUUCUUCAAUGCGGACAUCUAAGUUGAAGGAAAGAUUCAUCGCUGGCAGAUGGGGAUGCGUCCGAUUAGCUUGCCGGCGGGGUAACGGCCCACCGGGGCGACGAUCGGUAGGGGUUCUGAGAGGAAGGUCCCCCACACUGGUACUGAGACACGGACCAGACUCCUACGGGAGGCAGCAGUGAGGAAUAUUGGUCAAUGGGCGUAAGCCUGAACCAGCCAAGUAGCGUGCCAGGAUGACGGCCCUACGGGUUGUAAACUGCUUUUAUGCGGGGAUAAAGUGCGGCACGUGUGCCGCUUUGCAGGUACCGCAUGAAUAAGGACCGGCUAAUUCCGUGCCAGCCGCGGC